RNAcentral lists this long non-coding RNA (239 nucleotides) under Homo sapiens (human). RNAcentral's name for it is "HSALNT0295770". The record is from RNAcentral. Lineage: Eukaryota; Metazoa; Chordata; Mammalia; Primates; Hominidae.
CUUCUGAUCGCCUGCAAGUGCCUCCUGUUGGUCCACCCUACUGGAAGUCUGAGCUGGGCAGAGAAGCACCAAAAGUGGAGCUGGAGGAGCAAACAGAAUAUCCAGCACACUGCAGAAAGCUGAGAUUGGUAUUCUUCUACCGCAUGGCUACUCCUGCCACCAAGGGGAACACAGAGUAAAGUGACAACACUAAUUCAGGCUCCAUCAUGGUGACCAGGGAUUAGAAAAUAACCGCAAAG